RNAcentral lists this ribosomal RNA (188 nucleotides) under Klebsiella pneumoniae subsp. pneumoniae. RNAcentral describes it as "partial 23S ribosomal RNA". It matches the Rfam family "Bacterial large subunit ribosomal RNA", at positions 1454 to 1640 of the family's 2925-position model. Lineage: Bacteria; Pseudomonadati; Pseudomonadota; Gammaproteobacteria; Enterobacterales; Enterobacteriaceae. The record is from RNAcentral.
UGUUACUGCGAAGGGGGGACGGAGAAGGCUAUGUUAGCCGGGCGACGGUUGUCCCGGUUUAAGCAUGUAGGCUGGUUAUCCAGGCAAAUCCGGAUAAUCAAGGCUGAGGUGUGAUGACGAGGCACUACGGUGCUGAAGUAACAAAUGCCCUGCUUCCAGGAAAAGCCUCUAAGCAUGUAUGCGCGAGG